This 89-nucleotide small nucleolar RNA is filed under the name Candidozyma auris. Its description in RNAcentral is "Candida auris Small nucleolar RNA snR54". It matches the Rfam family "Small nucleolar RNA snR54". From Rfam's summary of the family: snR54 is a member of the C/D class of snoRNA which contain the C (UGAUGA) and D (CUGA) box motifs. Most of the members of the box C/D family function in directing site-specific 2'-O-methylation of substrate RNAs. Lineage: Eukaryota; Fungi; Ascomycota; Pichiomycetes; Serinales; Metschnikowiaceae. The record is from Rfam by way of RNAcentral.
UUUCAUGAUGAACAAAAAAUACUGUAUAACUUUCGUUCUACCGAUUUGCAUCAAACGAUGUUGGGGACACCUUUAUCUUUCCCCUGAGA